AGGUUCUGGGUUCUGGGGCUUGAGCCUCUGGGCAUGGGCAGAAGGCAGGUAGCAGAGGUCCUAGGAUGCCAGGGCUUUUUCCUUCCGGGCGGGGAUCAAAUCCUCGAGAAACCGAGCCAUCCCGUCCAGCUACCUGCCCCAAACGGGGCGCAGGCCGUGGUGACCUCUCUAGGAGGCUCCGGAAAACCGGCCACGCCGCCCAUCUCGGGUGCAGAAAGUCGGCUUCCCCCGAUCCAUUGGAAAGAUUCCUGGCUAUCCACCCGGUCGGGGCGUCUGAGUGCAGGAGCCGCGACAGGCGUGCCUGAUAAACCAGUGAAGAGCACUCUCGCCUUACUGUCUAUCCAUCCCACCCGGACCCAGGCUCAGCGCUGCACACUCCCCCGGGGGGGCCCGGCGCAGUCACGCGCGCCCCACACUUGAGCUCACAAGCGCGCAAGACUCUCGCUCUCCGCCCUGCACACCUGCGCUCCGCCCCCUGGUCCCGGGCCGGCGACGGGCGAAGACAUUUGGGAACCCAGGGCGGCUGCAGCGGCACCCCCAACUCUUCCCGUUUUCUGGGCCAGAAUUGUCUGGAGCCUUCCGCCGCUCCAAACCAGCCUGCAUCCCUCUCCAUCCUUCCCUCCCCCCGCCUGCCGCGGCACCGGUAUCUGCAACCGCAGUCCGGAGCCGGUGAGGCGGCGAAGGGGGGAGGGGAAGGAAGCAAGCAAGGGAUGAGCGCCUGGAGGGCGUCGGGGGCCCUGAGCCGGACUAAGACGCCCCAGGAGCCGGAACGCGAGCAGGAGCCGGAGCCAGAACCAAACCACCGCUGCAGUCCACUUACCCCAGGAGGCGCCCUGGCCCGCGCUCGCCCCCCAGGGCCUCAUGUCGGAACCACAGCCUGACCUGGAGCCACCCCAACAUGGGCUGUACAUGCUCUUCCUGCUUGUGCUGGUCUUUUUCCUCAUGGGCCUCGUAGGCUUCAUGAUCUGCCACGUGCUCAAGAAAAAGGGCUACCGCUGCCGCACGUCGAGGGGCUCCGAGCCUGACGACACCCAGCUCCAGCCCCCUGAGGAUGAUGACAUGAAUGAGGACACAGUAGAGAGGAUUGUUCGCUGCAUCAUCCAAAAUGAAGCCAAUGCUGAGGCCUUGAAGGAGAUGCUGGGGGACAGUGAAGGAGAAGGGACAGUGCAGCUGUCCAGCGUGGAUGCUAUGUCCAGCCUGCAGGAUGGAACCCCCUCCCAUCAUCACACAGUGCAUCUGGGCUCUGCAGCACCUUGCAUCCACUGCAGCCGCAACAAGAGGCCCCCGCUUGUCCGUCAGGGGCGCUCCAAGGAAGGAAGGAGCCGCCCCCGGCCUGGGGAGACUACCGUAUUCUCUGUGGGCAGGUUCCGGGUGACACACAUUGAGAAGCGCUAUGGGCUGCAUGAGCAUCGUGAUGGCUCCCCCACGGACAGGAGCUGGGGAUCUGGUGGAGGGCAGGACCCAGGGGGUAGUCAGGGGUCUGGGGGAGGACAGCCCAGGGCAGGGAUGCCAGCUAUUGAGAGCCUGCCCCCUGAGAGGCCACAGCCUCAGGCCCUCGCCAGCCCCCGAGUGCAGAACGGAGGACUCAGGGACAGCAGCCUAGUCCCUUGUGCACUUGCGGGGAACCCUGGAGCCUCUGCAGAGCCGACGCUGGGGGCUGGAGGGAGGGGCUCAAGCCCAGGGCUGGCCAGCCAAGAGGCAAGUGGACAGCCAAGCAAACUGGACACCUCAGAUCACCAGGUAUGAAGACAUGGCCAGGGCUGUGGUGGGCUCAGCUUAUUGCCCCCCCACUCUGGGGAUGGGGUGCACUGCUAUGACCCACAUCCUGUUCUCCCAUUGUUGACCCCUCCUCUCUCUCAGGUGUCUCCAGCACGGGGAGCAAGGGGUGUGUGAGGUCGCCUGACCCGCUUUCCCCAUCACCUCGCUCCAUAUGUGUGGAGCAAGGAGUAGGCCUCUGCCCUUGGUGGGCUCCUAAAGCAAUAGCACCUUAGCCCCCUGCCCUCUUGGCACAAGAGGCUCAGGCCCUGGCUUGGGCUUUGGGCCCUUUAUUCACUGUCAAUAAAUUCGCUCAGAUCAUUA
Molecule: RNA transcript, 2079 nt
Organism: Hipposideros armiger (great roundleaf bat)
Lineage: Eukaryota; Metazoa; Chordata; Mammalia; Chiroptera; Hipposideridae
Gene: RELL2
Gene name: RELT like 2
Exons: 7
Source: RefSeq, a predicted model, not a curated record